Molecule: ribosomal RNA, 407 nt
Filed under: uncultured bacterium
Lineage: Bacteria
Description: partial 16S ribosomal RNA
Rfam family: Bacterial small subunit ribosomal RNA
Source: RNAcentral
GACGAACGCUGGCGGCGUGCCUAAUACAUGCAAGUCGAACGCAGUUGCGCACGGGUGAGUAACGCGUAGGUAACUGCCUCAUAGCGGGGGAUAACUAUUUGAAACGAUAGCUAAUACCGCAUACUGUUAGAUGGACUUGCUUUGUAUUAGGUAGUUGGUGAGGUAAAGGCUCACCAAGGCGCAGAUCCCUACCCGGCGUGAGAGGGUGAGCGGGCAAACUGGAACUGAGAAACGGCCCCGACUCCUACGGGAGGCAGCAGUAGGGAAUCUUCGGCAAGGGACGGAAGUCUGACCGAGCAACUGCGGGGGAGAGAAGAAGGGUCUCGGGGCGUAAAGCUCUUUUGUGCGAGAAGCGGUAACUAAACAGAAAGGGACGGCUAACUACGUGCCAGCAGCCGCGGUAAUUC